Terrapene triunguis (Three-toed box turtle) is the source of this 1467-nucleotide long non-coding RNA. RefSeq lists it as uncharacterized. The transcript has 4 exons. The record is from RefSeq and is a predicted model, not a curated record. NCBI's taxonomy places the organism in Eukaryota, Metazoa, Chordata, Testudines, Emydidae.
AGGUGGAUCGCUAGGUGUGAUUUGAAAGACAACCACUUACACCAGGAAAUGAAGAAAUUCCAGAUUCAAAAGAAACUACUGAGGCCAUCUGGGAAAUCUUCAUGGAGAUUUUUUAGCACUUACUUUGCGUGAUCAAUCUCUUGCUAUUACUAAAUGACUGUGUGUUUAAGCUUCAGUGUUACAAAGUAGCAGGAUGGAGCACUUUAGGAGCCGAGAAAAUUGUUGAGGAAUGAUGGACAACAGAAGGACUCUCCUUAGGAAAUAUCAUGUCCACGGGGGAAAAGAAAGCCAGGCAGAUGGUAUUGAAGCACAAAAGUGGAUUUAAACAAGGAUUUAAAGUGGGAGACGGAGAGCGUUCGGAGAGCAGAAUAUGGGAGCCUGUGCCAACUGUAGAGCAGGAGUGUUCAACCCGAUGCGAUGCUUAAAGUGGGACAAGGAAACUAUGGGCCCAGUUUCAUGAAGUCCUAGACACCUUCAACUCCAGUUGAUUUCGUCGGAAGUUCAGAGACUUGCAGAGGCCUGACGGGGACAGUUAACAGGAACGACUGGGAGGAAGUGAGAGGUCAUGGAUGCUGGCAGUCAACUAAGAAUCUCCUCAUGUGCCAACCUGGUAUAGAGGAUGGAACCAGCCAUUUCCUUGCUGCCGGCCAAGAAGAGGCAUGCACCCAGGUCUCCUCUCCAGAGGCCAUGUUCAGGGUUGCGACCUGCAAGUUCAGCAAAACCUAAAACCAAAUUUCUUUGGCAUCAUCCACCCUUACUCAAGUCCAUAUUGUCAGGGAAGGAAACGGCAAUAGGAGUCUCUCCCCAAGAACCUAGCAUUCACAGUAGACAUCCUUAAAGCUUCCCUCUCUUCAAAGAGUGCUCAGAUCCCUAAGACUCAUCUUCAACACAAGAUGCUACUAGCCUACAUACUUCAAGGAUCCAUGUGCCUGCCAUACUUUCAAUGUUUUGUCUCCUUUUCUUCCAAUUCCAGAUAAUCAUGGACUGGAUGAACGAAAGUGACACAUUGUUAGUAUCUGCCAUAACCUGGCUUUCAAAUUCUAAUUCACAUGCUAGAAUUAUCAAUAACAAGGCAGUGUUCAACAAAUAUUUCUGUUCUGUACUUGGGGAAAAACAGAUGAUAUCGUUUCAUCAGAUGAUGAUGAUAAUAUUCUUUCCAUUCCACAGACAUUUUAAAAUCAGCAGGUCCAGAUAACUUGCAUCCAAGAGUUCUAAAAGAGCUGGAUGAGGAACUGACUGGACCAUUAAUGUUGAUUUUUAAUGCAUCUUGGAGCACCAGGGAAGAUCCUGGAUUCCAACAUAAUGGAGCAGCUGAUACGGGACUCCAAUUAAGAAAGAGUUAAAGGAGGGUAGUGUAAUUAUUUCAAAUCAACAUGGAUUUGUGGAAAAUAGAUCCUGUCAAGCUAAUGUCUUUUUUUUAAUGAGAUUACAAGUUUGGUUAUUAAAGGUAAAAGUGCUGACAUAAUA